Molecule: long non-coding RNA, 220 nt
Filed under: Homo sapiens (human)
Lineage: Eukaryota; Metazoa; Chordata; Mammalia; Primates; Hominidae
Description: HSALNT0302619
Source: RNAcentral
AAAUAAUUCUUGUCAUAAAAUGGGCAAAUAGUCUGAGGUGCCUGACGUCCAGGCAUUCUUUUAUACAUCAGUCCCUUCCUAGUCUCUGUGCCCAGUGCAACUCGUCCCAAAUCUUCCUUCUUUCCCUACCGCCUGUCCCCUCAGUCCCAACCCCAAGCGUAGCUGAGUCUUUCUAAUCUUCCUUCUUUCCCUCCCACCUGUCCCCUCAGUCCCAACCCCA